This 124-nucleotide ribosomal RNA is filed under the name Spiridens longifolius. RNAcentral describes it as "partial 5.8S ribosomal RNA". It matches the Rfam family "5.8S ribosomal RNA", at positions 35 to 154 of the family's 154-position model. Rfam says of the family: 5.8S ribosomal RNA (5.8S rRNA) is a component of the large subunit of the eukaryotic ribosome. It is transcribed by RNA polymerase I as part of the 45S precursor that also contains 18S and 28S rRNA. Functionally, it is thought that 5.8S rRNA may be involved in ribosome translocation. Lineage: Eukaryota; Viridiplantae; Streptophyta; Bryopsida; Hypnodendrales; Spiridentaceae. The record is from RNAcentral.
GAUGAAGAACGCAGCGAAAUGCGAUACGUAGUGUGAAUUGCAGAAUUCCGCGAAUCAUCGAGUCUUUGAACGCAACUUGCGCCCGAGGCUCGUCCGAGGGCAUUCCCGUCAGAGCGUCAACGCG